AACGAACGCUGGCGGCAUGCCUAACACAUGCAAGUCGAACGGGUACCUUCGGGUGCUAGUGGCGCACGGGUGCGUAACGCGUGGGAAUCUGCCCUUGGGUUCGGAAUAACUCAGCGAAAGCUGUGCUAAUACCGGAUGAUGUCGAAAGACCAAAGAUUUAUCGCCCGAGGAUGAGCCCGCGUUGGAUUAGCUAGUUGGUGGGGUAAAGGCCUACCAAGGCGACGAUCCAUAGCUGGUCUGAGAGGAUGGUCAGCCACACUGGGACUGAGACACGGCCCAGACUCCUACGGGAGGCAGCAGUGGGGAAUAUUGGACAAUGGGCGAAAGCCUGAUCCAGCAAUGCCGCGUGAGUGAUGAAGGCCUUAGGGUUGUAAAGCUCUUUUACCCGGGAUGAUAAUGACAGUACCGGGAGAAUAAGCUCCGGCUAACUCCGUG
RNAcentral lists this ribosomal RNA (435 nucleotides) under uncultured bacterium. RNAcentral describes it as "partial 16S ribosomal RNA". It matches the Rfam family "Bacterial small subunit ribosomal RNA", at positions 29 to 507 of the family's 1533-position model. The record is from RNAcentral.